RNAcentral lists this ribosomal RNA (1490 nucleotides) under uncultured organism. RNAcentral describes it as "SSU rRNA". It matches the Rfam family "Bacterial small subunit ribosomal RNA". The record is from RNAcentral.
UGAACGCUGGCGGCGUGCCUAAUACAUGCAAGUCGAACGAGUUCUGAUUAUUGAAAGGUGCUUGCAUCUUGAUUUAAUUUUGAACGAGUGGCGGACGGGUGAGUAACACGUGGGUAACCUGCCCUUAAGUGGGGGAUAACAUUUGGAAACAGAUGCUAAUACCGCAUAAAUCCAAAAACCGCAUGGUUCUUGGCUGAAAGAUGGCGUAAGCUAUCGCUUUUGGAUGGACCCGCGGCGUAUUAGCUAGUUGGUGAGGUAACGGCUCACCAAGGCAAUGAUACGUAGCCGAACUGAGAGGUUGAUCGGCCACAUUGGGACUGAGACACGGCCCAAACUCCUACGGGAGGCAGCAGUAGGGAAUCUUCCACAAUGGACGCAAGUCUGAUGGAGCAACGCCGCGUGAGUGAAGAAGGCUUUCGGGUCGUAAAACUCUGUUGUUGGAGAAGAAUGGUCGGCAGAGUAACUGUUGUCGGCGUGACGGUAUCCAACCAGAAAGCCACGGCUAACUACGUGCCAGCAGCCGCGGUAAUACGUAGGUGGCAAGCGUUAUCCGGAUUUAUUGGGCGUAAAGCGAGCGCAGGCGGUUUUUUAAGUCUGAUGUGAAAGCCCUCGGCUUAACCGAGGAAGUGCAUCGGAAACUGGGAAACUUGAGUGCAGAAGAGGACAGUGGAACUCCAUGUGUAGCGGUGAAAUGCGUAGAUAUAUGGAAGAACACCAGUGGCGAAGGCGGCUGUCUGGUUUGUAACUGACGCUGAGGCUCGAAAGCAUGGGUAGCGAACAGGAUUAGAUACCCUGGUAGUCCAUGCCGUAAACGAUGAAUGCUAGGUGUCGGAGGGUUUCCGCCCUUCAGUGCCGCAGCUAACGCAUUAAGCAUUCCGCCUGGGGAGUACGACCGCAAGGUUGAAACUCAAAGGAAUUGACGGGGGCCCGCACAAGCGGUGGAGCAUGUGGUUUAAUUCGAAGCAACGCGAAGAACCUUACCAGGUCUUGACAUCUUUUGAUCACCUGAGAGAUCAGGUUUCCCCUUCGGGGGCAAAAUGACAGGUGGUGCAUGGUUGUCGUCAGCUCGUGUCGUGAGAUGUUGGGUUAAGUCCCGCAACGAGCGCAACCCUUAUGACUAGUUGCCAGCAUUUAGUUGGGCACUCUAGUAAGACUGCCGGUGACAAACCGGAGGAAGGUGGGGAUGACGUCAAAUCAUCAUGCCCCUUAUGACCUGGGCUACACACGUGCUACAAUGGAUGGUACAACGAGUUGCGAGACCGCGAGGUCAAGCUAAUCUCUUAAAGCCAUUCUCAGUUCGGACUGUAGGCUGCAACUCGCCUACACGAAGUCGGAAUCGCUAGUAAUCGCGGAUCAGCACGCCGCGGUGAAUACGUUCCCGGGCCUUGUACACACCGCCCGUCACACCAUGAGAGUUUGUAACACCCGAAGCCGGUGGCGUAACCCUUUUAGGGAGCGAGCCGUCUAAGGUGGGACAAAUGAUUAGGGUG